GAUGAACGCUAGCGGCAGGCUUAACACAUGCAAGUCGAGGGGCAGCACGGGUAGCAAUACCUGGUGGCGACCGGCGCAAGGGUGCGUAACGCGUGAGCAACAUGCCCUAUACAGGGGGAUAAUCCAGGGAAACUUGGUCUAAUAUCCCAUAGCAUUUAGAGGAGGCAUCUUCACUAAAUUAAAGCUUCGGUGGUAUAGGAUUGGCUCGCGUGACAUUAGCUAGAUGGUGAGGUAACGGCCCACCAUGGCUAUGAUGUCUAGGGGUUCUGAGAGGAAGACCCCCCAACUGGGACUGAGACACGGCCCAGACUCCUACGGGAGGCAGCAGUGAGGAAUAUUGGACAAUGGAUGGAAAUCUGAUCCAGCCAUGCCGCGUGCAGGAAGACGGCCCUAUGGGUUGUAAACUGCUUUUAUAUGGGAGCAAUAAGGUUUACGAGUAGACCGAUGAGAGUACCAUAUGAAUAAGCAUCGGCUAA
Molecule: ribosomal RNA, 476 nt
Filed under: uncultured bacterium
Lineage: Bacteria
Description: bacterial SSU rRNA
Rfam family: Bacterial small subunit ribosomal RNA
Source: RNAcentral